This 260-nucleotide ribosomal RNA is filed under the name Staphylococcus aureus. RNAcentral describes it as "partial 23S ribosomal RNA". It matches the Rfam family "Bacterial large subunit ribosomal RNA", at positions 755 to 1013 of the family's 2925-position model. The record is from RNAcentral. Lineage: Bacteria; Bacillati; Bacillota; Bacilli; Caryophanales; Staphylococcaceae.
GGUAACACUGAAUGGAGGACCGAACCGACUUACGUUGAAAAGUGAGCGGAUGAACUGAGGGUAGCGGAGAAAUUCCAAUCGAACCUGGAGAUAGCUGGUUCUCUCCGAAAUAGCUUUAGGGCUAGCCUCAAGUGAUGAUUAUUGGAGGUAGAGCACUGUUUGGACGAGGGGCCCCUCUCGGGUUACCGAAUUCAGACAAACUCCGAAUGCCAAUUAAUUUAACUUGGGAGUCAGAACAUGGGUGAUAAGGUCCGUGUUCG